Molecule: ribosomal RNA, 477 nt
Filed under: uncultured bacterium
Lineage: Bacteria
Description: partial 16S ribosomal RNA
Rfam family: Bacterial small subunit ribosomal RNA
Source: RNAcentral
AUGAACGCUGGCGGCGUGCUUAACACCUGCAAGUCGAACGGGAAACCUUUUAUUGAAGCUUCGGCAGAUUUAGCUGGUUUCUAGUGGCGGACGGGUGAGUAACGCGUGGGUAACCUGCCCUAUACAGGGGGAUAACAACCAGAAAUGGUUGCUAAUACCGCAUAAGCGCACAGGGCCGCAUGGUCCGGUGUGAAAAGCUCCGGUGGUAUAGGAUGGACCCGCGUUGGAUUAGCCAGUUGGCAGGGUAACGGCCUACCAAAGCGACGAUCCAUAGCCGGCCUGAGAGGGUGAACGGCCACAUUGGGACUGAGACACGGCCCAGACUCCUACGGGAGGCAGCAGUGGGGAAUAUUGCACAAUGGGGGAAACCCUGAUGCAGCGACGCCGCGUGAAGGAAGAAGUAUCUCGGUAUGUAAACUUCUAUCAGCAGGGAAGAUAGUGACGGUACCUGACUAAGAAGCCCCGGCUAACUACGUG